CGUGACUCGGGGCCGUCAGCGGCGGUAAUAAGUAGGUGGCAAGCGUUAAUCGGAAUUACUGGGGCUAAAGUGUGCGCGGGCGGCCAGGCAGGUCGAGGGGGAAAGCCCCGGGCUUAACGUGGGAAUUGCGCUCGAAGCUACGUGGCUGGAGUGUGGCAGAGGAAGGUGGAAUUCCACGUGUAGCGGUGAAAUGCGUAGAGAUGUGGAGGAACACCAAUGGCGAAGGCAGCCUUCUGGGCCAACACUGACGCGCAUGCACGAAAGCGUGGGGAGCAAACAGGAUUAGAUACCCGGGUAGUC
RNAcentral lists this ribosomal RNA (300 nucleotides) under uncultured Desulfurococcus sp. RNAcentral's name for it is "bacterial SSU rRNA". It matches the Rfam family "Bacterial small subunit ribosomal RNA", at positions 496 to 795 of the family's 1533-position model. The record is from RNAcentral. Lineage: Archaea; Thermoproteati; Thermoproteota; Thermoprotei; Desulfurococcales; Desulfurococcaceae.